RNAcentral lists this ribosomal RNA (670 nucleotides) under uncultured soil archaeon. RNAcentral describes it as "bacterial SSU rRNA". It matches the Rfam family "Archaeal small subunit ribosomal RNA", at positions 180 to 859 of the family's 1478-position model. The record is from RNAcentral.
UCUUCCGCGAAUCUGCUCCAGGAUGGGACUGCGUCCGAUCAGGCUGUUGGCGGGGUAAUGGCCCACCAAGCCUGUAACCGGUACGGGCCUUGAGAGAGGUGGCCCGGAGAUGGACACUGAGAGAAGGGUCCAGGUCCUACGGGGCGCAGCAGGCGCGAAACCUUCGCAAUGCGCGAAAGCGUGACGAGGUUAAUCCGAGUGACUUCCGCUGAGGAGGUCUUUUGUCAGCUGUAAAUAGGCAGGCGAAUAAGGGGAGGGCAAGCCUGGUGUCAGCCGCCGCGGUAAUACCAGCUCCUCGAGUGGUCGGGGCGAUUAUUGGGCCUAAAGCAUCCGUAGCCGGUUCCGUAGGUCCUCUGUUAAAUCCAACCGCUUAACGGUUGACCUGCAGAGGAUACCGCGGGACUAGGAGGCGGGAGAGGCGGACGGUACUCCGCGUGUAGGGGUAAAAUCCUUUGAUCCGCGGAAGACCACCAGUGGCGAAGGCGGUCUGCCAGAACGCGCUCGACGGUGAGGGGUGAAAGCUGGGGGAGCGAACCGGAUUAGAUACCCGGGUAGUCCCAGCCGUAAACGAUGCGAGCUAGAUGAUUCAUUCGCAGUUCGCGAAUGAAGUGUCGCAGGGAAGCCGUUAAGCUCGCCGCCUGGGGAGCACGGUCGCAAGGCUGAAACUUAA